AUACUGCAAGUCGAACGCACAGCGAAAGGUGCUUGCACCUUUCAAGUGAGUGGCGAACGGGUGAGUAACACGUGGACAACCUGCCUCAAGGCUGGGGAUAACAUUUGGAAACAGAUGCUAAUACCGAAUAAAACUUAGUGUCGCAUGACACAAAGUUAAAAGGCGCUUUGGCGUCACCUAGAGAUGGAUCCGCGGUGCAUUAGUUAGUUGGUGGGGUAAAGGCCUACCAAGACAAUGAUGCAUAGCCGAGUUGAGAGACUGAUCGGCCACAUUGGGACUGAGACACGGCCCAAACUCCUACGGGAGGCUGCAGUAGGGAAUCUUCCACAAUGGGCGAAAGCCUGAUGGAGCAACGCCGCGUGUGUGAUGAAGGCUUUCGGGUCGUAAAGCACUGUUGUAUGGGAAGAACAGCUAGAAUAGGGAAUGAUUUUAGUUUGACGGUACCAUACCAGAAAGGGACGGCUAAAUACGUGCCAGCAGCCGCGGUAAUACGUAUGUCCCGAGCGUUAUCCGGAUUUAUUGGGCGUAAAGCGAGCGCAGACGGUUGAUUAAGUCUGAUGUGAAAGCCCGGAGCUCAACUCCGGAAUGGCAUUGGAAACUGGUUAACUUGAGUGCAGUAGAGGUAAGUGGAACUCCAUGUGUAGCGGUGGAAUGCGUAGAUAUAUGGAAGAACACCAGUGGCGAAGGCGGCUUACUGGACUGUAACUGACGUUGAGGCUCGAAAGUGUGGGUAGCAAACAGGAUUAGAUACCCUGGUAGUCCACACCGUAAACGAUGAACACUAGGUGUUAGGAGGUU
RNAcentral lists this ribosomal RNA (798 nucleotides) under Leuconostoc pseudomesenteroides. RNAcentral's name for it is "bacterial SSU rRNA". It matches the Rfam family "Bacterial small subunit ribosomal RNA", at positions 51 to 832 of the family's 1533-position model. The record is from RNAcentral. Lineage: Bacteria; Bacillati; Bacillota; Bacilli; Lactobacillales; Lactobacillaceae.